This 1522-nucleotide ribosomal RNA is filed under the name metagenome. RNAcentral describes it as "bacterial SSU rRNA". It matches the Rfam family "Bacterial small subunit ribosomal RNA". The record is from RNAcentral.
AGAGUUUGAUCAUGGCUCAGAUUGAACGCUGGCGGCAGGCCUAACACAUGCAAGUCGAACGGUAACAGGAAGAAGCUUGCUUCUUUGCUGACGAGUGGCGGACGGGUGAGUAAUGUCUGGGAAACUGCCUGAUGGAGGGGGAUAACUACUGGAAACGGUAGCUAAUACCGCAUAACGUCGCAAGACCAAAGAGGGGGACCUUCGGGCCUCUUGCCAUCGGAUGUGCCCAGAUGGGAUUAGCUAGUAGGUGGGGUAACGGCUCACCUAGGCGACGAUCCCUAGCUGGUCUGAGAGGAUGACCAGCCACACUGGAACUGAGACACGGUCCAGACUCCUACGGGAGGCAGCAGUGGGGAAUAUUGCACAAUGGGCGCAAGCCUGAUGCAGCCAUGCCGCGUGUAUGAAGAAGGCCUUCGGGUUGUAAAGUACUUUCAGCGGGGAGGAAGGGAGUAAAGUUAAUACCUUUGCUCAUUGACGUUACCCGCAGAAGAAGCACCGGCUAACUCCGUGCCAGCAGCCGCGGUAAUACGGAGGGUGCAAGCGUUAAUCGGAAUUACUGGGCGUAAGGCGCACGCAGGCGGUUUGUUAAGUCAGAUGUGAAAUCCCCGGGCUCAACCUGGGAACUGCAUCUGAUACUGGCAAGCUUGAGUCUCGUAGAGGGGGGUAGAAUUCCAGGUGUAGCGGUGAAAUGCGUAGAGAUCUGGAGGAAUACCGGUGGCGAAGGCGGCCCCCUGGACGGAGACUGACGCUCAGGUGCGAAGGCGUGGGGAGCAAACAGGAUUAGAUACCCUGGUAGUCCACGCCGUAAACGAUGUCGACUUGGAGGUUGUGCCCUUGAGGCGUGGCUUCCGGAGCUAACGCGUUAAGUCGACCGCCUGGGGAGUACGGCCGCAAGGUUAAAACUCAAAUGAAUUGACGGGGGCCCGCACAAGCGGUGGAGCAUGUGGUUUAAUUCGAUGCAACGCGAAGAACCUUACCUGGUCUUGACAUCCACAGAACUUUCCAGAGAUGGAUUGGUGCCUUCGGGAACUGUGAGACAGGUGCAGCAUGGCUGUCGUCAGCUCGUGUUGUGAAAUGUUGGGUUAAGUCCCGCAACGAGCGCAACCCUUAUCUUUUGUUGCCAGCGGUCCGGCCGGGAACUCAAAGGAGACUGCCAGUGAUAAACUGGAGGAAGGUGGGGAUGACGUCAUGUCAUCAUGGCCCUUACGACCAGGGCUACACACGUGCUACAAUGGCGCAUACAAAGAGAAGCGACCUCGCGAGAGCAAGCGGACCUCAUAAAGUGCGUCGUAGUCCGGAUUGGAGUCUGCAACUCGACUCCAUGAAGUCGGAAUCGCUAGUAAUCGUGGAUCAGAAUGCCACGGUGAAUACGUUCCCGGGCCUUGUACACACCGCCCGUCACACCAUGGGAGUGGGUUGCAAAAGAAGUAGGUAGCUUAACCUUCGGGAGGGCGCUUACCACUUUGUGAUUCAUGACUGGGGUGAAGUCGGAACAAGGUAACCGUAGGGGAACCUGCGGUUG